This 1311-nucleotide ribosomal RNA is filed under the name metagenome. RNAcentral describes it as "SSU rRNA". It matches the Rfam family "Eukaryotic small subunit ribosomal RNA", at positions 146 to 1509 of the family's 1831-position model. The record is from RNAcentral.
ACCGUGGUAAUUCUAGAGCUAAUACAUGCUUAAACGCCCGACUUUAUGGAAGGGUGGUAUUUAUUAGACUGAAGCCAAUAUUCCUUGUGUCUAUUGCGGUGAUUCAUAAUAACUGAUCGAAUCUCUUUUUGAGAUAAAUCAUUCAAGUUUCUGCCCUAUCAGCUUUCGAUGGUAGUGUAUUGGACUACCAUGGCAGUAACGGGUAACGAAGAAUUAGGGUUCGAUUUCGGAGAGGGAGCAUGAGAAACGGCUACCACAUCUAAGGAAGGCAGCAGGCGCGUAAAUUACCCAAUCCUGACUCAGGGAGGUAGUGACAAGAAAUAGCAAACCGGGAACCUCAUGGUUUCACGGUAUUGCAAUGAGAACAAUUUAAAACCCUUAGCGAGAAUCAAGUGGAGGACAAGUCUGGUGCCAGCACCCGCGGUAAUUCCAGCUCCACUAGCGUAUAUUAAAGUUGUUGCAGUUAAAAAGCUCGUAGUUGAACCUCUGUCUGGGGCUAGUUUUGGCUUUGGUCAGGCUAGUUCUAGGCAUCCGCCUACAAGACUUAGAGGGCAUUCAGUUGUUCACUAGGAGGAGUAGGCAUUUUACUUUGAAAAAAUUAGAGUGUUUAAGGCAGGCAAUCGCCCGCAUAUAUUAGCAUGGAAUAAUAGAAUAGGACACUUUUCCAUUUCGUUGGUUAUUGGAAUCGUGUAAUGAUUAAUAGGGACAGUUGUGGGCAUUUGUAUUUAAUUGUCAGAGGUGAAAUUCUUGGAUUUAUUAAAGACAAACUAACGCGAAAGCAUUUGCCAAGGAUGUUUUCAUUAAUCAAGAACGAAAGUUAGGGGAUCAAAGACGAUCAGAUACCGUCCUAGUCUUAACUAUAAACUAUUCCGACUCAAUGUUUGACUGGCUUAUAUAACCAGUUGAGCGUUGUAUGAGAAAUCAAAGUCUUUAGGUUCUGGGGGGAGUAUGGUUGCAAAGCUGAAACUUAAAGGAAUUGACGGAAGAGCACAACCAGGAGUGGAUUCUGCGGCUUAAUUUGACUCAACACGGGGAAACUUACCAGGUUAAAACAAUAGUGGGAUUGACAGUUUGAGAGCGCUUUCUUGAUUGGUUGGGUGGUGGUGCAUGGCCGUUCUUAGUUGGUGGAGUGAUUUGUCUGCUUAAUUGCGUUAACGAACGAGACCUUAACCUGCCUACUAGACUGGCGAUCAUCAAUCGUUAGCUCUUCUUAGAGGGACUUUGGUUGUUUUAACUCCAAGGAAGUUUGAGGCAAUAACAGGUCUGUGAUGCCCUUAGAUAUCCUGGGCCGCACGCGUCAUACAAUGACUA